GACGAAGGGGGCUAGCGUUGUUCGGAAUUACUGGGCGUAAAGCGCGUGUAGGCGGUUGUUCAAGUCGGGUGUGAAAGCCUUGAGCUCAACUCAAGAAAUGCACUCGAUACUGGAUGACUUGAGGACCGGAGAGGAUAGUGGAAUUCCCAGUGUAGUGGUGAAAUGCGUAGAGAUCGGGAGGAACACCAGCGGCGAAGACGGCGCCUGGACAGGUACUGACACUCGAAACUACGAAA
Molecule: ribosomal RNA, 236 nt
Filed under: uncultured bacterium
Lineage: Bacteria
Description: partial 16S ribosomal RNA
Rfam family: Bacterial small subunit ribosomal RNA
Source: RNAcentral